Long non-coding RNA from Octopus bimaculoides (California two-spot octopus), 711 nucleotides. The record is from RefSeq and is a predicted model, not a curated record. NCBI's taxonomy places the organism in Eukaryota, Metazoa, Mollusca, Cephalopoda, Octopoda, Octopodidae.
GUUAUUCUGGUGAACAGAAAAUAUCUUGCAUAAAAUGGUGGGCUGUGUCUGUCUAGCAGGGCUAUUUGUUGGAGUGCGAGCAGAAUUGCGAAGUCUGCUUACAUGAGCUGGUUGGGUCGAGAUAAUGCAAUGGGAAAUCACCUCAGUAAAACCUUUAGUGGGAAUCACCUUGUGUAAAACAGUGUUUCAGUGUUGUCUUAGAACGAAGAAGGAUUGCAGUCAUGCUGGGGCACCAACUUGAAGAAUUUUUGGUCAAAUAAACCGUCUCCAGUAUUCAUUGUUCUUUUUAAAAGCCUGGUACUUAUAUCGUUCCAUUUUGCUGAACCGCUAGAUUACGGGGACGUAAACAGACCAACACUGGUUUUUAAGCGGUGAGUGGUGGACAAACACAGACACACAAACUUCUUUCAGUUUUCGUCAGUGCUCAACUGGUACUUAUUUAAUCGACCCCGAAAAGAUGAAAAUCAAAGUCGACCUCAGCAGAAUUUGAACUUAGAACGUAAAGACGAACGAAAUGUCGCUAAGCAUUUUGCCCGGCGCGCUGACGAUUUUGCCAGCUCGCCGCCUUUGGAGUUACAUAUAUUAUUACACAAACCAGUUUGAUUCGACCCCACGUAACUUAAACUUUCGUAGGGUCGUACUUUGGCCUAAGAGUCGUGACCAAAUAUGAUUGCGGCCCCUAACUUAACUAGAUAAGGACUCGGUGGACCA